AUUGAACGCCGGCGGCAUGCCUUACACAUGCAAGUCGAACGGCAGCACGGGAGCAAUCCUGGUGGCGAGUGGCGAACGGGUGAGUAAAGUAUCGGAACGUGCCCAGUCGUGGGGGAUAACAUAGCGAAAGUUACGCUAAUACCGCAUACGAUCUAUGGAUGAAAGCGGGGGAUCGCAAGACCUCGCGCGAUUGGAGCGGCCGAUAUCAGAUUAGGUAGUUGGUGGGGUAAAGGCUCACCAAGCCGACGAUCUGUAGCUGGUCUGAGAGGACGACCAGCCACACUGGGACUGAGACACGGCCCAGACUCCUACGGGAGGCAGCAGUGGGGAAUUUUGGACAAUGGGCGCAAGCCUGAUCCAGCCAUGCCGCGUGCAGGAUGAAGGCCUUCGGGUUGUAAACUGCUUUUGUACGGAACGAAAAGGUUUGACUUGAUACGUUGGACUCAUGACGGUACCGUAAGAAUAAGCGCCGGCUAACUACGUGCCAGCAGCCGCCGUAA
This 500-nucleotide ribosomal RNA is filed under the name uncultured bacterium. RNAcentral describes it as "partial 16S ribosomal RNA". It matches the Rfam family "Bacterial small subunit ribosomal RNA", at positions 30 to 523 of the family's 1533-position model. The record is from RNAcentral.